This is a long non-coding RNA of Amphimedon queenslandica, 347 nucleotides long. RefSeq lists it as uncharacterized. Lineage: Eukaryota; Metazoa; Porifera; Demospongiae; Haplosclerida; Niphatidae. The record is from RefSeq and is a predicted model, not a curated record. The transcript is spliced from 4 exons.
GUUACACUUUAUGCAGUGCAACUGUAUCUUAAUAGGUAUUAUUUAACUCUCACUGUCAUUGUUUUAGCAUCAUCAACAACAAUUUCUUAUUCCGUUGCCACUACUGCUAUGCCAACUGUAGUGAAUAAUGGAGAAAACAUUUGGUGGAUAAUUGGUGCAGCAGUAUUAGUAUCACUAUUGGCUAUACCAAUAAUUGUGAUAUUAAUAGUAAUGAUAUACAUAAAAAGAACUAAUAAUAAUAGAAAGAGACAAUCAGAUAAUGAUAUUGUAAUGGAAUGCAGUCCAGCUUAUGCUACAGCUGAAUUUAAAACAAAUACUGCUGAUGAUAUACUAAUGAAGGAUAGUCC